RNAcentral lists this ribosomal RNA (251 nucleotides) under uncultured bacterium. Its description in RNAcentral is "partial 16S ribosomal RNA". It matches the Rfam family "Bacterial small subunit ribosomal RNA", at positions 524 to 774 of the family's 1533-position model. The record is from RNAcentral.
UACGUAUGGUGCAAGCGUUAUCCGGAUUUACUGGGUGUAAAGGGAGCGCAGGCGGCACGCUAAGCCUGAUGUGAAAACCCGCGGCCCAACCGCGGGAGUGCAUUGGGAACUGGCGGGCUGGAGUACCGGAGGGGCAGGCGGAAUUCCUAGUGUAGCGGUGAAAUGCGUAGAUAUUAGGAGGAACACCAGUGGCGAAGGCGGCCUGCUGGACGGAGACUGACGCUGAGGCUCGAAAGCGUGGGGAGCAAACA